UGAACGCUGGCGGUAUGCUUUACACAUGCAAGUCGUACGGAAAGUAUUUGAAUUUAUUCGUUUACUUUUAGUGGCGGACGGGUGAGUAACACGUGAGAAUCUGCCUUUAGGAGGGGGACAACAAAUCGAAAGAUCUGCUAAUACCCCAUAUGUCAUUAGAUGAAAUGAAUUUAUUCGCCUAAAGAGGAGCUCGCGGCUGAUUAGCUAGUUGGUAAGGUAAUGGCUUACCAAGGCGACGAUCAGUAACUGGUUUGAGAGGAUGAUCAGUCACACUGGAACUGAGACACGGUCCAGACUCCUACGGGAGGCAGCAGUGGGGAAUUUUCCGCAAUGGGCGAAAGCCUGACGGAGCAAUACCGCGUGAGGGAUGAAGGCUUACUGAGUUGUAAACCUCUUUUUUCAAGGAAGAAGUUCUGACGUUACUUGAAGAAUAAGCAUCGGCUAA
RNAcentral lists this ribosomal RNA (445 nucleotides) under uncultured bacterium. Its description in RNAcentral is "bacterial SSU rRNA". It matches the Rfam family "Bacterial small subunit ribosomal RNA", at positions 30 to 500 of the family's 1533-position model. The record is from RNAcentral.